Long non-coding RNA from Melospiza melodia melodia, 480 nucleotides. RefSeq lists it as uncharacterized. The transcript has 3 exons. The record is from RefSeq and is a predicted model, not a curated record. Lineage: Eukaryota; Metazoa; Chordata; Aves; Passeriformes; Passerellidae.
GAGGCAGCCACGAUCUGGUCCCUUGGCCUCCUGCUGUGCCACCUGGUCAUGGGGAAGCACCCGUUCAGGAGGGGCCAGGAGAUCAUCCGGGGGCGGAUCUUGUUCCCACGACGGCUCUCUCGAGAGUGCCAAGAUGUUAUUAAGAGGUGUUUGUCCAUGCAACCCUCGGACAGGCCAUCCUUAGAAGAUCUUUUCUGUCAUCCUUGGGUGAAGGGUGUUUCCCUGCCCUAGAAGACUGAAGAAAUCCACGUGCACAGUUGGAUCCAGGGACCUAGCAGGGAAGGAGAAGGAGCCCCUGGAGAAGCUGUUCCAAGUGGGGCUGGUGCUGGAGACACCAAGGACAACCUCAAAGAUGAUAAUCUCUUCCUUGGCCUGGCCAGCUGAAGAUGAUGGACUUGGAUUCUGGCACCUUCUUCAAAGCCAGGCUCCAGGUCCAAUUUGCAGGUGAGUCUACAGGCAUGGGGUUGCUCCCAGGUCUGG